Molecule: ribosomal RNA, 900 nt
Filed under: Nannizzia persicolor
Lineage: Eukaryota; Fungi; Ascomycota; Eurotiomycetes; Onygenales; Arthrodermataceae
Description: eukaryotic LSU rRNA
Rfam family: Eukaryotic large subunit ribosomal RNA
Source: RNAcentral
GCCCCAGUAACGGCGAGUGAAGCGGCAAGAGCUCAAAUUUGAAAUCUGGCCUCCUUCGGGGGUCCGAGUUGUAAUUUGUAGAGGAUGCUUCGGGUGUGGCCGCCGUCUAAGUUCCUUGGAACAGGACGUCAGAGAGGGUGAGAAUCCCGUCUUGGGCGGCCGGUCCGCGCCCGUGUGAAGCUCCUUCGACGAGUCGAGUUGUUUGGGAAUGCAGCUCUAAGCGGGUGGUAAAUUUCAUCUAAAGCUAAAUACUGGUCGGAGACCGAUAGCGCACAAGUAGAGUGAUCGAAAGGUUAAAAGCACCUUGAAAAGGGAGUUAAACAGCACGUGAAAUUGUUGAAAGGGAAGCGCUUGCGGCCAGACUCGGGGGCGGGGUUCAGCGGGCGCUCGUCGCCCGUGUACUCCCCGUCUCCCGGGCCAGCAUCAGUUUCGACGGCCGGUCAAAGGCCCCCGGAAUGUGUCGUCUCUCGGGACGUCUUAUAGCCGGGGGUGCAAUGCGGCCCGUCGGGACUGAGGAACGCGCUCCGGCUCGGAUGCUGGCGUAAUGGCCGUAAGCGGCCCGUCUUGAAACACGGACCAAGGAGUCUAACAUCCACGCGAGUGUUCGGGUGUCAAACCCGUGCGCGCAGUGAAAGCGAACGGAGGUGGGAGCCUUAGGGCGCACCAUCGACCGAUCCUGAAGUCUUCGGAUGGAUUUGAGUAGGAGCGUGGCCGUUGGGACCCGAAAGAUGGUGAACUAUGCCUGAAUAGGGUGAAGCCAGAGGAAACUCUGGUGGAGGCUCGCAGCGGUUCUGACGUGCAAAUCGAUCGUCAAAUUUGGGCAUAGGGGCGAAAGACUAAUCGAACCAUCUAGUAGCUGGUUCCUGCCGAAGUUUCCCUCAGGAUAGCAGUGACGAUAUU